Long non-coding RNA from Bos grunniens (domestic yak), 1667 nucleotides. The record is from Ensembl. Lineage: Eukaryota; Metazoa; Chordata; Mammalia; Artiodactyla; Bovidae.
GCUGCUGAAGCUGAGAAGACCAAUUUGAAGCUGAGUUGUUGAUCCACACAAGGUGAGGAAGAACUGGAGCCAAAAGAGGACAAAAUCUGGAAAGAAAGCAGAAGAGACGAAGCAAGAGUGAAAUGGGCAGACGAGAACUGGCCUAAACAAUUCCGGAGGCAGAAUAAAAGACAGUCUAUCCACACCAGAAGGUUCUCAUUCUGAAGAGAUAUGAAAGUGACCUGUGGGAUUUUUCUGAAGUGCUGCUGGCUGGGAACUGCUGGAGUUUCAGCGCAGGUAAACUAUCACAAACUGGGUGCUCGAGCAACAGGAUUUCAUCAGCAUCUCCCGGCUCUGGAGGCUGAAAAUCCAAGAUCACUGUGUCAGCAGGGUUGGUUCUUUCUGUGCCCCUGAGGGAGACUGUUCCAUGUUCCCACAUGGUUUUGCUGGCUUCAUUAGCAUCUUUAGCUUAUAUAAGUAUCACCCCAGACUGCCUUCUUCUUCACACGGAGUUCUCCUUUGUCCAUGCCUGUGUCCAAAUUUCUUCUCUUUAUAAUGACACUAUUUAUACUGGGUUAACUUCGCUGGGGGCUUAGAUGGUAAAGAAUCCGCCUGCAUUGCGGGAAACCUGGAUUCUAUCCCUGGGUCACGAAGAUUCCCUGGAGGAGGAAAUGGCAACCCACUCCAGUAUUCUUGCAUGGAGAAUUCCAUGGACAGGGGAGACCGGAGGGCUAUAGUCUAUGGGAACACAAAGAGACUAACACACACAGGGCCUACUUUAGUGACCUCAUUUUAAGUUGAUUAACUCUGUAAAGACUCUCCAAAUAAGGUCACAUUCUGGAGUUAGGCCUCCAACAUAUGAGUGGAGCAGGGCGGAUUUAUAAUUUGAUCUUUAACAGUUUGGAAUAAAAAUAUAUUAUUAUUGUUAUCAUUUCUACCCAUUUUGGGGUAUUAGGUGCCCGAUUCUGCGUUAACAUUGUGUUAUUAAUCCUUCCCAAGCACUGUGCAAUUACAUGGCAUUGACCUUAUUUUGGAAAUAAAAAGGCCGAGCUGCCAUGAAGUAUAAUAGCUGGCCUGGCAUUGCAGGAAGCAAAUAGUGAAGGCUUUCCUGGCCUAGUUCUGGCUGAGUGUUAUCUACUCUGUGUGUGUGUGUGUGUGUGCGCGCGCACGCGCGUGUGCUUUGUCCGACUCUUUGCGACCCCGUGGACUAUAGCCCCCCAGGCUCUUCUGCCCAUGGGAUUUCCAAGGCAAGAAUACUGAAGCGGGUUACCAUUUCUUUCUCCAGGGGAUCUUCUAGACCCAGAAACUGAACCUGUGUCUCCUGCAUUGGCAGGCGGAUUCUUCACCACUGAGCCAUCUGGGAAGCCCCGUGUUAUCCAUUACAUUCCCAUUUAGGAUGAGACAACCCUGGCCAACCUCAUAAAGCCCUUUCAGGUUUCUGAGUCCUAUCUGAGGCCUGUUAAGCUUUGCCAUUCUAAAGAAAAUGCAAGUCUGCAGGGCUCCCGGGAAAGGUAUGCACGUAUUGAAUUUGUAACGGGAUCCUGGAGUCCCGGCUGUCUUUCUUUAUUCAUGGGCUUCAGAGCUGGAGGUGCAGCAUGGGGAGGAGGACAGGAGGUUGUGUAAUUCUCUCAGGAAGAAAGCCAAAACGAAAAGGAAGAAUGCAAGCAAGCGGCGUCGGUACACAGGCA